GUGCUCGCUUUGGCAGCACAUAUACUAAAAUUGGAAUGAUACAGAGAUUAGCAUGGCCCCUGUGCAAGAAGGACAUGCAAAUUUGUGAAGUGUUCCAUAAAACA
This 104-nucleotide small nuclear RNA is filed under the name Prolemur simus (greater bamboo lemur). Lineage: Eukaryota; Metazoa; Chordata; Mammalia; Primates; Lemuridae. The record is from RNAcentral.